RNAcentral lists this ribosomal RNA (491 nucleotides) under uncultured Rothia sp. RNAcentral's name for it is "partial 16S ribosomal RNA". The record is from RNAcentral. Lineage: Bacteria; Bacillati; Actinomycetota; Actinomycetes; Micrococcales; Micrococcaceae.
CACGUAGUUAGCCGGCGCUUUCUCUGCAGGUACCGUCAAUCUCUCUUCUUCCCUGCUAACAGAGGUUUACAACCCGAAGGCCGUCAUCCCUCACGCGGCGUCGCUGCAUCAGGCUUGCGCCCAUUGUGCAGUAUUCCCCACUGCUGCCUCCCGUAGGAGUCUGGGCCGUGUCUCAGUCCCAGUGUGGCCGGUCACCCUCUCAGGCCGGCUACCCGUCGUCGCCUUGGUGAGCCGUUACCUCACCAACAAGCUGAUAGGCCGUGAGCCCAUCUAUAACCACUACAUAACGCUUUCCACCAACACCCCAUGCGGAGAUUGGUCGUAUCCGGUAUUAGACCCAGUUUCCCAGGCUUAUCCCAGAGUUAAAGGUAGGUUACUCACGUAUUACUCACCCGUUCGCCACUAAUCCACCUAGCAAGCUAGGCUUCAUCGUUCGACUUGCAUGUGUUAAGCACGCCGCCAGCGUUCGUCCUGAGCCAGGAUCAAACUCU